AGCGAACGCUGGCGGCAGGCUUAACACAUGCAAGUCGAACGCUCGUAGCAAUACGGGAGUGGCAGACGGGUGAGUAACACGUGGGAACGUGCCCUUCGGUUCGGAAUAACCCAGGGAAACUUGGGCUAAUACCGGAUAAGUCCGCGAGGAGAAAGAUUCAUCGCCGGAGGAUCGGCCCGCGUCCGAUUAGCUAGUUGGUGAGGUAACGGCUCACCAAGGCUGCGAUCGGUAGCUGGUCUGAGAGGAUGAUCAGCCACACUGGGACUGAGACACGGCC
Molecule: ribosomal RNA, 277 nt
Filed under: uncultured bacterium
Lineage: Bacteria
Description: partial 16S ribosomal RNA
Rfam family: Bacterial small subunit ribosomal RNA
Source: RNAcentral